This is a long non-coding RNA of Xenia sp. Carnegie-2017, 490 nucleotides long. RefSeq lists it as uncharacterized. The transcript is spliced from 4 exons. NCBI's taxonomy places the organism in Eukaryota, Metazoa, Cnidaria, Anthozoa, Malacalcyonacea, Xeniidae. The record is from RefSeq and is a predicted model, not a curated record.
UAUUUCUUAAUUUUAAUGGCGUGAAAAAAAUGGAUUUUUUUCAUACUUUCUCAACAAAGAUUUUAUCAAUAUGAAGGUGUGCCCGACAAUCAGACAAGAGCACUCGUAAAUCGAAGGAUGAAAGCCAUUACGUCUGUCGACAGCUGCUGAAAUCUUCUUAAAGGCAAACGGACUCUUAAAAGCUCCCUUGAUGAUUUAAGAACAAUAGUUAUACGAGUUAACUUUGACAUGUGAGGAUAUAUGAUUUUUGCAGGUGUCAAUCAAUACACUCCACAUUUUUUGUCCAAUUUUGUAGAAGUACUACUAGAUUAUCUCAUUUAUGUAAUUUUGAUGCAGAAGCUACUAGAAGACUGUCGUUGUUCCUUACGAUACAGUCCGCUGAGACAUUAUACAUUUUACUUUAUCCUAUCUGUGUCUUGCUUGGCCUUCAGUCCUGUAUUUAAUAAACAAUAACUGUUACUAAUAAUAUUGUCAUGGACAAGGUAUUGUA